GACGAACGCUGGCGGCGUGCCUAACACAUGCAAGUCGAACGGAAAGGCGAGGAGCUUGCGCGGUGCGCGAGAGGCGAACGCGUGAGUAUCACGUGUGUAACAUGCGCUUGACAUUGGGAUAACAUCAUGAGAAACGGGCUAUAACCGCGCAGGAGCUCCUGCUGCACGUGGGGGGUAGGAGAGAUUCGGCGUUUGUGGAUGGACGUGCGGCUCAUCAGCUUGUUGGUGGGGUAGUGGCUUACUAAGGCUCCGACGGGUAGCCGGCCUGAGAGGGUGACCGGCCACAGUGGGCUAGGGAAAGGGGCAGGAGGGCAACGGGGGGCAGCGGGGGAGAAUAUAGCACGAUGGGCGGAGGGCGGAUGCAGCAAUGCCGCGUGCGGGAUGACGGUCUUCGGGUUGUAACCCGCUUUCGCCUGUGACGAAGAGUGAGUGACGGUAAUGGGUAAAGAAGCACCGGCUAACUACGUG
RNAcentral lists this ribosomal RNA (468 nucleotides) under uncultured bacterium. RNAcentral's name for it is "partial 16S ribosomal RNA". It matches the Rfam family "Bacterial small subunit ribosomal RNA", at positions 28 to 507 of the family's 1533-position model. The record is from RNAcentral.